CUCAGAAUUUAAGGGGCUGUACUUGCUGGG
RNAcentral lists this non-coding RNA (30 nucleotides) under Mus musculus (house mouse). Lineage: Eukaryota; Metazoa; Chordata; Mammalia; Rodentia; Muridae. The record is from RNAcentral.